RNAcentral lists this transfer RNA (85 nucleotides) under Felis catus (domestic cat). It matches the Rfam family "tRNA". Rfam says of the family: Transfer RNA (tRNA) molecules are approximately 80 nucleotides in length. The record is from Rfam by way of RNAcentral. Lineage: Eukaryota; Metazoa; Chordata; Mammalia; Carnivora; Felidae.
GCCUGCGGGGCUCAGUCAGUUGAGCAUCUGACUUCAGCUCAGGCCGUGAUCUCACAGUUAGUGGGUUCGAGCCCCGCCUUGGGCU